RNAcentral lists this ribosomal RNA (377 nucleotides) under uncultured bacterium. Its description in RNAcentral is "bacterial SSU rRNA". It matches the Rfam family "Bacterial small subunit ribosomal RNA", at positions 523 to 898 of the family's 1533-position model. The record is from RNAcentral.
AUACGUAGGGAGCGAGCGUUGUCCGGAAUCAUUGGGCGUAAAGAGCAUGUAGGUGGAUCAAUAAGUCUGCUGUGAAAGUCGAAGGCUCAACCUUCGAAUGCCGGUGGAUACUGUUGUUCUAGAGUACGGAAGAGGCGAGUGGAAUUCCUGGUGUAGCGGUGGAAUGCGCAGAUAUCAGGAGGAACACCAAUAGCGAAGGCAGCUCGCUGGGACGUUACUGACACUGAGAUGCGAAAGCGUGGGGAGCAAACAGGAUUAGAUACCCUGGUAGUCCACGCCGUAAACGAUGGGUACUAGAUGUGGGAGGUGUCGACUCCUUCCGUAUCGUAGCUAACGCACUAAGUACCCCGCCUGGGGAGUACGGCCGCAAGGCUAAA